GUGGGGAAUCUUAGACAAUGGGGGAAACCCUGAUCUAGCCAUGCCGCGUGAGCGAUGAAGGCCUUAGGGUUGUAAAGCUCUUUCAGAUGGGAAGAUAAUGACGGUACCAUCAGAAGAAGCCCCGGCUAACUCCGUGCCAGCAGCCGCGGUAAUACGGAGGGGGCUAGCGUUGUUCGGAAUUACUGGGCGUAAAGCGCACGUAGGCGGACCAGAAAGUCAGAGGUGAAAUCCCCGGGCUCAACCUUGGAACUGCCUUUGAAACUCCUGGUCUUGAGGUCGAGAGAGGUGAGUGGAAUUCCGAGUGUAGAGGUGAAAUUCGUAGAUAUUCGGAGGAACACCAGUGGCGAAGGCGGCUCACUGGCUCGAUACUGACGCUGCGGUGCGAAAGCGUGGGGAGCAAACAGGAUUAGAAACCCGGGUAGUCC
Molecule: ribosomal RNA, 425 nt
Filed under: uncultured bacterium
Lineage: Bacteria
Description: partial 16S ribosomal RNA
Rfam family: Bacterial small subunit ribosomal RNA
Source: RNAcentral